AGGUUCGGUAACCGCUGAGCCAUGAUCAGAACUUCUGAAAAGUAAUUUUUAAGGAAAAAGUACUGAUUAUGUCCCAAACAAGAGGUUAAUAACUGGAAAUCUCCCUAGAAUACUUUUAUCUCAGCUUGGAAAGAAAAAUAGGCUCCUCUGUGCUGUAUUAGCUUUUUAACAACACAGUCCUUGAUCAGUUAGGUAUCCUGAGUUGAUGUGCAGGUGAAUGGCAGAAGAAGAGGAAAAAAAGUGUGUCCUCAGCUGCCAGCAUUUAUUUUAAAUCUAUCACUGCAUUUAAAUGGUUUAAAAAAAACAAAUUCCAGAUAUGAGUUGUUGUUAGGAAGGCAUCAGCAAAGAAUUUCCUCUGUGCUUAACCAGAACAACUGAAAGAAAAAAAACACCAUUGAGUACAUAUUAUAUCAGUUUCAGUCAAUUACCUUGAUACUGUCAAACGGAAACAAAUAAACUGGCAAGGUGUAAAGUAAAAACAUUUAAAAAAAUUUUCUGCAAAGUGUUUCACUAAUGAAUACAUUGUAAUUUAUUUAACUUUUUUCUUUCCCUCCAAUCUUUUGCUUUUAUGUACAAAUGUACAAUAAAUUUUCUGAUUAACUUUUUUCUUUCCUCCAGUCUUUUGCUUUUAUACACAAAGAUACAAUAAAUUUCCUUUUACACACAGCAUUUCACACACAAAUGAGUAAAUCUGUGAUAAAUUCCUAGCUGUGACAUUCCAGCUUUCUUGGAUGUGUGUGUGUAUCAGUUAACGCCAAUAAUGUUUGAAACUGCCCGUGUCUCCACACCUUUGGCCACUGUACCAGCUAAGAUCCAAUCAUUCGCCAUACAAAUUACUUAAACUGAGUUUCACAUGAAGAACUAUUCACUAGGUAUAAAGUUGUCAAGAAGACAAUUAAGACAAGAUGAGAAUACUAAGGUACCAGGGAGGUAGCAAUUGCAAAAAGCAGCUAUCAUCUCUAAUGCUGGAGGAACAAGUGAGGAGGUUGAAAUAAUUAAAGCUUACCCGCUUAGAGGAGGGAACCUCAUAGUAUUGAAAUGCUCUUUAGAGGAGGAUCUUACUCACCUGGUGCUCUGAGCUUGGAGGAGGGACCCCAUGUGCCAGGGGACUAGACUUUCAAGGAGGGAGUAUUAACUGGUUAGUGAUGGUUUACCUAGAGCGGAAAGGUCAGACUGACUCUGAGUGCUGGAAAAACCACAAUCUGGAUUCAGCUGCGGCUGUGGUUAAGGAUUGAUGCUACAGGUGAAAAUAGUUGCUGGGGUAACGUGGGCGGGAACAGGAAGCGGAAAGGGUGGAGCAAGUCCCUUCUUUGCUUUCAGCCUUUCUCUUGGCCUCUGGUAGCUCCUGUUGGCUGACUCUGCACCCGCGCGGGAUGGCAAAGGGGAAAGGCGGUGAGCAGUCCCAGAUCCAGCCUCCACGAGUUUAGAAGGUGGAACUGGAGGCGAGAGACAACUCAGACUGGCAGAGCACCUCUGCAAUCAAAUCUCCAGAGUGGGGGAUGUGACUCUCAGGCAUGAAUACAGCUCCCUAGAAGACCUAAGAAACAGGCUGCUUGGUGAACAUCAGUCCCUGGUAACCAGGCAUCCAUCAGGAGCAAGGUCCCUUUUAUUUUCUUCUCCUAGAGUUCUCCUGCUCAAAGCACUGGGUGCUGAUAUAUUCCGACUGCUUGGUCUAAGUCUCCAGAUUCUAGACCUAGAAUUUAUCAAUGAACAUAGGGAACCACACAGUGAAAAGUGGGCUGCCGAACGCCUGUUUGAAGUGAUGGGUUGCAAGAUGGACCGAAACGUCAGGACAGUCCAAAUGUCCUCACUGAAGAUGCACUGACAGUGAAUGUCAAAGGACUCAGGAAUGCCUAAUGGUACCAGGACCAAGAAGGGGAAUCUUCCUGUUUAUGGAGCAUUACCUGAAAGAACAAAUCUUUGCCUCCGCAGAGCAGCUGCAUCUAAGGGGGCGGGGGGGCAACCUGAGAACAAGUGAGAAGAGGAGCAUCCAAAGCAGUUUAUCUUUGCCUUUAUCUGGUUUCCUCUGAGGACACCUCUGAAGCCUUUCUGGGUUCGGGUCAUGGGGAACACUCACACCCUUGCUUCCGAGAAAGCCCCAUCUGAGGUCCUCUCUUGAGGGGUCCUGCUCACAACAGCAGCCCUUUCCUGAAGGACCCUGCUAGCAGUGACAUCAUUUCUACAGACGGAUGAACCCCCACGGCACCUCCUAGAGCACACAGAACCCCCACGGCACCUCCUAGAGCUCUACAGAGUCCUAUGAGAUUGACACCCGUGCUGAAAGCAGUGGACUCCCCUGAAUUCCUCUACUUUGAAGCUGCAGAAAAUUCUGUGUAAUUCACCCAAAGUCAUGUUUGAAACCACAAAAAAUGUAUAUUAAACGACUACCUAUCCAUUGAGGGGGGGUUGUUUUGUUUUUUUGGCUGCCUCCACAGCAUGGGGAUGUUCUGGGGCCAGGGAUGGAACCCACACUGCAACAGCAGCAGCCUGUGCCACAGCAGUGCUAACACCAGGUCCUUAACUCACUGAGCCACCAGGGAACUCCUAUCCUUUGUGUGUUUUCAAUGUAGUUUACACCCUCUUAACAGAGCCAGAAAAAAAUUAAAUCAACAUAUUUAAUUUCAAAGAGCAUGUGUGAGUGACCAUUAGUGAACACAACACAUGCCUGAAGAGAGUGAGGCUUAAGGCCACACCUUGGGCUUCACCACCACAUAGCCCCUGGCUUUGUAAGUCAGGGCCUGCCAAGUCAAGAUGUUGCCAGGGUAACAUGAGGUACACAUGUUCUUCAGGGGGAGCACACGGUUCCACAGGGACACAUCCCAGAUCUCCCCAACAAAGGACUGUUUGGCAUCAAAACCUCCCCCAAAGGAAUCCUGCUCCUGUCCCAGGAUGAUGCUCGCCUUCUCCUUCACAGUAUACCCUCUCUUCAGGCCCUUCCUCCCCACGGGCUUCCCAUUCACCCAGAGUUCAGCAAUCCCAGAGGCAGAUUCCCAGCUGGCACACAGGUGGGCGGGGGUGUCAGGGGACGGGGGCACCUUGAAAGUGACCCCAGUGCCCCCAACAUACAGUAUGUACUCCCCUACUUUGUUGACAAAGAGGAGCAGCUCGUUGUCUGUCGACCUCGUGUUGUAGGAGAAGAGGCUGUAAGGGCGGGUUAGGUCUGUGAAGGCUUUCAGGCACAGCGUGAAGUUCUUCAGUGGGUUGUUCACCCUGGGGACCAGGGACACAUGGGCUGUGUUCGACUCUUCAGGGAAAAUGAACACCUUCCCUCUUAAGU
Non-coding RNA from Sus scrofa (pig), 3277 nucleotides. Lineage: Eukaryota; Metazoa; Chordata; Mammalia; Artiodactyla; Suidae. The record is from RefSeq and is a predicted model, not a curated record.